RNAcentral lists this ribosomal RNA (427 nucleotides) under uncultured bacterium. Its description in RNAcentral is "bacterial SSU rRNA". It matches the Rfam family "Bacterial small subunit ribosomal RNA", at positions 958 to 1398 of the family's 1533-position model. The record is from RNAcentral.
AACGCGAAGAACCUUACCCAGGCUUGACAUCCUUGGAAUUUCUUCGAAAGAAGAGAGUGCUUUAUUGAGCCAAGUGACAGGUGGUGCAUGGCCGUCGUCAGCUCGUGUCGUGAGAUGUUUGGUUAAGUCCAUCAACGAGCGCAACCCUUAUGUUUAGUUGAAUUUUUCUAAACAGACCGCCCUGGUAACAGGGAGGAAGGAGGGGAUGACGUCAGGUCCGUAUCUCCCUUACGUCUGGGGCUACAGACACGCUACAAUGGCCGGUACAAAGGGCAGCCAAGUCGCGAGACGGAGCUAAUCCCAUCAAAGCCGGUCUCAGUUCGGAUAGUAGGCUGAAACUCGCCUGCUUGAAGCUGGAAUCGCUAGUAACGGUAAGUCAGCACAUUACCGUGAAUACGUUCCCGGGCCUUGUACACACCGAGACGUA